RNAcentral lists this ribosomal RNA (341 nucleotides) under uncultured bacterium. RNAcentral's name for it is "bacterial SSU rRNA". It matches the Rfam family "Bacterial small subunit ribosomal RNA", at positions 32 to 361 of the family's 1533-position model. The record is from RNAcentral.
AAUCAACGCUGGCGGCGUGCCUCAGACAUGCAAGUCGAACGAGAACCUCCCUUCGGGGAGGGAAGUGGCGCACGGGUGAGUAACACGUGGGUAAUUUACCUUCGGUGGGAGUAACAGUCGGAACGACUGCUAAUACCGCAUGAUGCAGCGGCACCACAUGGUGACAGUUGUUAAAGCGGGGAUCGCAAGACCUCGCGCCUGAAGAGAAGCCCGCGGCAGANAGUCUAGUUGGUAAGGUAAUGGCUUACCAAGGCAACGAUCUGUAGCCGGCCUGAGAGGGCGGUCGGCCACACUGACACUGAAUAACGGGUCAGACUCCUACGGGAGGCAGCAGUCGGGAA